AUUGAACGCUGGCGGCAUGCCUUACACAUGCAAGUCGAACGGCAGCACGGGAGCAAUCCUGGUGGCGAGUGGCGAACGGGUGAGUAAUAUAUCGGAACGUGCCCAGUCGUGGGGAUAACGUAGCGAAAGCUACGCUAAUACCGCAUACGAUCUAUGGAUGAAAGCGGGGGAUCGCAAGACCUCGCGCGAUUGGAGCGGCCGAUAUCAGAUUAGGUAGUUGGUGAGGUAAAGGCUCACCAAGCCGACGAUCUGUAGCUGGUCUGAGAGGACGACCAGCCACACUGGGACUGAGACACGGCCCAGACUCCUACGGGAGGCAGCAGUGGGGAAUUUUGGACAAUGGNGCAAGCCUGAUCCAGCAAUGCCGCGUGCAGGAUGAAGG
Molecule: ribosomal RNA, 382 nt
Filed under: uncultured bacterium
Lineage: Bacteria
Description: bacterial SSU rRNA
Rfam family: Bacterial small subunit ribosomal RNA
Source: RNAcentral